GACGAACGCUGGCGGCGCGCCUAACACAUGCAAGUCGAACGGAGCUGAGAGAAGCUUGCUUUUCUUAGCUUAGUGGCGAACGGGUGAGUAACGCGUGAGUAACCUGCCCUGGAGUGGGGGACAACAGUUGGAAACGACUGCUAAUACCGCAUAAGCCCACGAUCCGGCAUCGGAUUGAGGGAAAAGGAUUUAUUCGCUUCAGGAUGGACUCGCGUCCAAUCAGCUAGUUGGUGAGGUAACGGCCCACCAAGGCGACGAUUGGUAGCCGGACUGAGAGGUUGAACGGCCACAUUGGGACUGAGACACGGCCCAGACUCCUACGGGAGGCAGCAGUGGGGGAUAUUGCACAAUGGGGGAAACCCUGAUGCAGCGACGCCGCGUGGAGGAAGAAGGUUUUCGGAUUGUAAACUCCUGUCGUUAGGGACGAUAAUGACGGUACCUAACAAGAAAGCACCGGCUAACUACGUG
Molecule: ribosomal RNA, 468 nt
Filed under: uncultured bacterium
Lineage: Bacteria
Description: partial 16S ribosomal RNA
Rfam family: Bacterial small subunit ribosomal RNA
Source: RNAcentral